Molecule: ribosomal RNA, 390 nt
Filed under: uncultured organism
Description: bacterial SSU rRNA
Rfam family: Bacterial small subunit ribosomal RNA
Source: RNAcentral
CGCCUAACACAUGCAAGUCGAGCGGUAACAUGGUUAGUAGCAAUACUAACUGAUGACGAGCGGCGGACGGGUGAGGAACACGUAGGAACCUGCCCAAGAGAGGGGGAUAACUAAGGGAAACUUUAGCUAAUACCGCAUAAUCUCUGGCGAGAAAAGUUGCCCGUAAGGGUAGCGCUUUUGGAGGGGCCUGCGUCCGAUUAGUUAGUUGGUGAGGUAAUGGCUCACCAAGACGAUGAUCGGUAACUGGUCUGAGAGGACGACCAGUCACACUGGGACUGAGACACGGCCCAGACUCCUACGGGAGGCAGCAGCGGGGAAUCUUGGACAAUGGGGGCAACCCUGAUCCAGCGAUGCCGCGUGGGUGAAGAAGGCCUUCGGGUUGUAAAGCCC